This 596-nucleotide ribosomal RNA is filed under the name Colletotrichum gloeosporioides. RNAcentral describes it as "eukaryotic LSU rRNA". The stretch from base 231 to 384 matches the Rfam family "5.8S ribosomal RNA". The record is from RNAcentral. Lineage: Eukaryota; Fungi; Ascomycota; Sordariomycetes; Glomerellales; Glomerellaceae.
UAGAGGAAGUAAAAGUCGUAACAAGGUCUCCGUUGGUGAACCAGCGGAGGGAUCAUUACUGAGUUUACGCUCUACAACCCUUUGUGAACAUACCUACAACUGUUGCUUCGGCGGGUAGGGUCUCCGCGACCCUCCCGGCCUCCCGCCUCCGGGCGGGUCGGCGCCCGCCGGAGGAUAACCAAACUCUGAUUUAACGACGUUUCUUCUGAGUGGUACAAGCAAAUAAUCAAAACUUUUAACAACGGAUCUCUUGGUUCUGGCAUCGAUGAAGAACGCAGCGAAAUGCGAUAAGUAAUGUGAAUUGCAGAAUUCAGUGAAUCAUCGAAUCUUUGAACGCACAUUGCGCCCGCCAGCAUUCUGGCGGGCAUGCCUGUUCGAGCGUCAUUUCAACCCUCAAGCUCUGCUUGGUGUUGGGGCCCUACAGCCGAUGUAGGCCCUCAAAGGUAGUGGCGGACCCUCCCGGAGCCUCCUUUGCGUAGUAACUUUACGUCUCGCACUGGGAUCCGGAGGGACUCUUGCCGUAAAACCCCCCAAUUUUCCAAAGGUUGACCUCGGAUCAGGUAGGAAUACCCGCUGAACUUAAGCAUAUCAAUAAA